This 253-nucleotide ribosomal RNA is filed under the name uncultured bacterium. RNAcentral describes it as "partial 16S ribosomal RNA". It matches the Rfam family "Bacterial small subunit ribosomal RNA", at positions 524 to 776 of the family's 1533-position model. The record is from RNAcentral.
UACGGGGGGAGCAAACGUUGUUCGGAAUCACUGGGCGUAAAGGGCUCGUAGGUGGCCAACUAAGCCAGACGUGAAAUCCCUCGGCUUAACCGGGGAACUGCGUCUGAUACUGGAUGGCUUGAGUUCGGGAGAGGGAUGCGGAAUUCCAGGUGUAGCGGUGAAAUGCGUAGAUAUCUGGAGGAACACCGGUGGCGAAGGCGGCAUCCUGGACCGAUACUGACGCUGAGGAGCGAAAGCCAGGGGAGCAAACGGG